Molecule: ribosomal RNA, 336 nt
Filed under: uncultured bacterium
Lineage: Bacteria
Description: partial 16S ribosomal RNA
Rfam family: Bacterial small subunit ribosomal RNA
Source: RNAcentral
CCUACGGGUGGCAGCAGUAGGGAAUCUUCCACAAUGGGCGAAAGCCUGAUGGAGCAACGCCGCGUGGGUGAAGAAGGUCUUCGGAUCGUAAAACCCUGUUGUUAGAGAAGAAAGUGCGGGAGAGUAACUGUUCACGUUUCGACGGUAUCUAACCAGAACGCCACGGCUAACUCCGUGCGAGCAGCUGCGGCAAUACGUAGGUGGCAAGCGUUAUCCGGAUUUAUUGGGAGUAAAGGGAACGAAGGCGGUAGUUUAAGUCUGAUGUGAAAGCCUUCGGCUUAACCGGUGUAGUGCAUUGGAGACUGGGAGGCUUGAGUGCAGAAGAGGGGGGUGGAA